Non-coding RNA from Phrynosoma platyrhinos (Desert horned lizard), 74 nucleotides. The record is from the annotation of a GenBank genome assembly. Lineage: Eukaryota; Metazoa; Chordata; Lepidosauria; Squamata; Phrynosomatidae.
GAAUCAGUACGGUGUAGUGGUUUGAACAUUGGACUAGGACUCUGAAGACCAAAGUUCAAAUCUCCACUGGGUCA